RNA transcript from Gossypium raimondii (Peruvian cotton), 3231 nucleotides. RefSeq lists it as uncharacterized. Lineage: Eukaryota; Viridiplantae; Streptophyta; Magnoliopsida; Malvales; Malvaceae. The transcript is spliced from 4 exons. The record is from RefSeq and is a predicted model, not a curated record.
UCAUAAAUCUCUAAUAAAUAUUUUCUCCAUGAUUCAUGAUUGAAAAGCUUGAUUGAUUAAAUAUAUUCCGAAGGGUGUGAUAUUUUUAGUGAAUGUGAAGCUCAAACAGACAGACAAUGGCAAUUGGAGAUGUUCGGUGUUGGCAUACAAACAAAAGAGAUAUAAUUCUUUCUUUUGAUUAGAAUUUUGUUAUUGCUUUGAUUUUCAAAAACUCUUAUCUUUUGGUACUAUAGCCACAACCAUCCUCAGUGGGUUUUCCAUAUUCCAUUUGCUUUCCUCUCUUUUUUCUUUCUGUUUGGAAUUUUCUUGCUAAUCUAGGACAGGUCGGAUUUAUGGUCCAAUUUGAUUAUUUUAAAUAUAUUUUAUUUUAAGAACAAAAAGUAAUAAAAAGAAACUAUUUCCAGCACUGCUUGCUAAUUGUUGUGCUAACUUCCCUUUCGAUUCAAGACUAAGCACUUUCUCUUCCAGAAGCCAUUUUUCCUUUCUUUUUUAACAUAACGCUAAAGAAAAAGAGCUCUCUUUCCUUUCUCUCCCAUUUUCUUUUUGCUUCUGCCUUUUGGGUUGCACAGUCCAUUGGUAAAAUAAGUGGGAUGCUGUGGUUCUAAAGAGUUGGAGACAGAGAGAGAGAGUGGGAGAAGAAAAAAAAAAAGAGAUGGGUUCAUGUGUUUCAGUGCAUAAGAGCUCUCAAGAGUCUGCCAUGAAACUUGGGCUUUCUUUAGAGCCUAAAACAGAUAGCCUUAUCAUUCCACCUUCACCUGUUAAAGAGAAACCUGCUGCUGCCAAUGGUGACUUUGCACUUAAAUCUCAAUCUUCCUCUACUUUUAAAGAUUUAGGUAGUAAAGAUGAAACUUUUUUUGAUUCCCGAGCGUAUCUCGAUUCAGAUUGUGAGGAUGAUUUCGUUAGUGUCAAUGGGGAUUUUACUCCUUCUCAUAGUAAUACCCCAGUUCAUCAGAGCUUCUCUGUGGGGACAUCUCAAGUUAACAAAGUCGGUGAUGAUGGAUCUCCAGGGUCAGUUUCUGAAACAUCCCCAUCGGGAAAGAAAAAGAAGCUGGUUGAACUAUUCCAAGAGAGCAUUAGGGAUGACCACGAUACUUCCGAGUCAAAUACCUCAAGCAACCAGGACACUGCCAAUGAAAAGAUAGUCAAACCAACUAUCCAAGACAUACUACCUCCAAAAUCCGCAGAUGGUACCCCUUAUGUCUCUGGAGCUAACUCUUGCUGCAGUAGUGAAAGGACUGUGAACGGAGAUAACCCUAUCUUUAAAGAGAAGCCAUUAAGGUCCGUACAGUGUUGCCUUCCCAGCUUGGUUUCAUGCAGUAGUUUUAGUGAGAGGAAGAAGAAGAUGAGCCCUGCAAUAGCUGCAAACAAUAAGCCGUAACUUCCAUCUGCUACCAGCAAUUAGAUUGAAGAAGCCUGGAUCUUGAUUCCCAGAGAUCAUUUGCUCAAGAUGACUUCAAAUUUUUGUCAGAAUUAACGGAGUCUAGGUGUCAUGGUUACUUAAAUAUGGGAUUUUCGGAUUCAGGGCAAUGAAAAAAAGCUGCCUGGCCCAUUAGUAGUAUAUCGUCUCAGUCAACCUGAAGGUAAUUUUGGGAUGUUUUCUUGCACCAUUGCUGUUUUAGCUGUGUUCAAAAGGACCCUAAAGAAGAAAAGGAAGAAACAAACUUGAGUAACGAAGGGGCAUAGAUUGUGCAUUUACUUUUCGGAACUCUUCGGACUUAAUACAGUUAGAAAGUGGUAAGAUCAGACUGUAGAGACCUGAAACCAAUCUACAAUAUGUUGUUGCGGUUUUUGUCUCACAAGUGUGAGAUUAAGUCUAUGUGUCUUGAGUUUUUAAUGUGGGAUUGAGGUGUUAAACAUGGCUUUCAUAGUACGGAAGUGGUUGUGAAGGAUGCGCCAAGUUAGCAUUGGUCUCGGCUUCAUCACAUGUUGCCAUAAGAGGACAGCAAGAUGUAAACAGAAGAAAACAAUCUAUAUCAUUUAUUGCUCUGUUCUUAAUCAAAUGAAAAUAUCUUCAUUAUUUAACUGAAACUUUAUGAAAAAGAAUUGGUGCAACUUAACAAGGUUGUACACGGCUGUUGAAUCUCUUCUCUUUGAUCUAUCCAUAGGUGAAAAAAAACUGCAAAAAAUGAGUGCAACUGUGGAAGACUGAACUUAGAAAGAUGAAAACAAAAAAAAAAAAUAUGUGUGGUUCAAACAAAUCUGCUAUUGUACUUUUGUUUUAUUUUUCCCUUAAGAAAGCUUGGGUCUUUCUAGAUGAGGAAAGGCACUCAAAAUGUUGUAAGCCCGCAAGUCUUGCCUGGUCAAGAUCCCAACUACAGGAGCUACCUGCAGAAGCAACUUUGUAAGUAAGGUGUACAAAAAUGGAAGAAUAAGCAUGAAAAAGAAGAGAAGUGUUUAUGGUUAGUAAACUGACCCCUGCACCUUGAUACUUUGGCACGAUGAGCAAAUGCCGGAGUCCGACUUGCCUGAACAGCACCAAGGCUUUAGCCACUGACAAGCUUUCCACCACAGUGAAAGGGGUUGUGUUGGUGAGAGGAUGUAAAUCAACAUACAUUUCCAUUUCAUCACGGGUCACUGCCACCUGCUCAAUCUUGAUUUCCCUUUCAGCAAGUUCAACCCAGUUGAAUUUCUCCCUCACUUCCCAUUCCUCAGUUCUUCUUUUCUCUGGCAGGAACCAUUUUUUCUUCAAGGCUUGAACAAGGUGAGCUCUGAGGAUCAGUCCAUGCAGUUCGGUUGCACCGGUGGCUACCAUGCCUGGCACCGGCACACCCUGGUCUACGAUGGGGAAUGCAUUAUGUGUAGUGUUCCUCAAUACGUCCACGAUCCGUGAAACCUUUUCCACCCCACAAAGAGUGACUACCGGUGGCUUGACAUCAGCAAGCUCGCCAACUGUGAGAUUUCUCAUCCAGGGUUCAGGAUUUGCAUCCAGGAAAGGAAGGCCUUUAAGUUCCAGUAUAAUCUCAUAGAUACUGGGGUUGAAGCAGUCUCCAACAGUUUUGGCAAUCAAAAGGACUAUCAUAGUUAUUGGCAGCAAAAGAAGGUUGUUUGUGAGUUCAAGGAAUAUGACACAAAGUGACACAGUCAUCCUCAUUGAGCCAGCCAUAAGGGAGCCUGCACCAAGAACAGCAAAAAGACCCUCGUCUAAGUUUGUAUAUGAUCCCAUGGCCAUACUGAGAAGUCGACCAUAACCUGAGCCCAUCAGAAUGAUAGGGAGGAAGAGACCAGAAGGAA